This 45-nucleotide non-coding RNA is filed under the name Schistosoma mansoni. Lineage: Eukaryota; Metazoa; Platyhelminthes; Trematoda; Strigeidida; Schistosomatidae. The record is from RNAcentral.
AUCCAGCUGAUAAGUCUUAAAUAGGACGAAAAAUGUAUCCUGGAU